UACGGGGGGAGCAAGCGUUGUUCGGAUUUACUGGGCGUAAAGGGCGCGUAGGCGGUCAGCACAAGUCAGUUGUGAAAUCUCCGGGCUUAACUCGGAAAGGUCAACUGAUACUGUGCGACUAGAGUGCAGAAGGGGCAACUGGAAUUCUCGGUGUAGCGGUGAAAUGCGUAGAUAUCGAGAGGAACACCUGCGGCGAAGGCGGGUUGCUGGGCUGACACUGACGCUGAUGCGCGAAAGUGUGGUGAGCGAACAGG
This 254-nucleotide ribosomal RNA is filed under the name uncultured bacterium. RNAcentral's name for it is "partial 16S ribosomal RNA". It matches the Rfam family "Bacterial small subunit ribosomal RNA", at positions 524 to 776 of the family's 1533-position model. The record is from RNAcentral.